CUGCUGCCUCCCGUAGGAGUUUGGGCCGUGUCUCAGCCCAAUGUGGCCGUCCACCCUCUCAGGCCGGCUACUGAUCGUCGCCUUGGUGGGCCGUUACCCCGCCAACAAGCUAAUCAGACGCGGGUCCAUCUUACACCACCGGAGUUUUUCACACAAAUCCAUGCGGCUUCGUGCGCUUAUGCGGUAUUAGCACCUAUUUCUAAGUGUUAUCCCCCAGUGUAAGGCAGGUUACCCACGCGUUACUCACCCGUCCGCCACUAAG
This 262-nucleotide ribosomal RNA is filed under the name uncultured bacterium. RNAcentral describes it as "partial 16S ribosomal RNA". The record is from RNAcentral.